AGAAGAGGAGUUGACGACACAGAAGCACAGAGGAAAGGCCAUGUGAGGACACAGGGAGAAGGUGCCCAUCUGCAACCGAGGAGAGAGGCCUCGGAAAAACUGCAGACACCUUGCUCUCGGACUUGCAGCCUCCAGAACCGGUUUUGAAAUUGUGGACCUGUAUUAUUCCUGUCUUGCACAUGAAGAAACUGAGGCACGGGAGAGCUUACCCACGUUCAUUAACUCCUGGGAGGUGGGGCUGGCUACCACCCCAGGCAGCCUGGCCCAGAGUCCAUGCUCUUCACAUCCUCCUUGCCGUGCCCCGGGCACUGCCCAUCUCUCAGGGCCUGACCCUCUGUAGAAGACAGAUUACCCCAAGCUGCAACCUUGCCGUGAAGACCAGAUACAAUGUAGGCAGAGCUCUGUUAUGAGUUAAAUUCCAGUCUCCCCAAUUUCGUAUGUUGAAGUCCUAACCCCAGUAACUCAGAAUAUAACCUUAUGUGGAAGUAGGGUCCUUGCUCAUAUAGUUGGUUAAAUUAAGAUGAUGUCACUAGGAUGGGCCCUAAUUCAAUAAGACUGGUGUCCUUAUUUAAAAAAAGAAAUUUGGACACAAAGACAGAGAGGUACUCAGAGGAAUGCCGUGUGAAUGCGAAGGCAGAGGUCAGGGUGAUGCUUGCACAAGCCAAGGAGUGCCUCAAAUUGCCAGCAAAGCCCCAGAAGCUCCGAGAGAGAGGCAUGGAACAGUUUCUCUCACUUAGCCUUCAGAAGGAAGUAACCCUGCCGAUACCUUGACCUCAAAUUUCUAGCCUCUAGAACUGUGAGACAAAUGUCUGCUGUUCACACCCCCAGCCUGUGAUCCUUUGUUACAGCUGUCCUAGCAGAUUAGCACAAUUCCUUACCCAGCGCCGGCUGCUGAGCCGGAGACCGAGAAGUGGCAGCCAGCCACACUUACUCUGUUUAGGACCAAAGCCUCAGAUUCUUAAUGGGAAAAUAAAGUCAGUGAGUUAGAUGGUUUCUAAGGCUUCCUCCAAGUUGCAGGUCUAAUUUUCUAUGUUUAUAACAUGAGGAUAAUUCCACUCUCUAGUCCCUUGCACCAGUGGUCUGGCUCUGUAGCAUUUCUUUGCUGUUUUAAAGACGGGCUGAUGCAAAGGCAGCCUUAAGAAGCAAAACAACACAAAGCGAACAGCUUCUUUUCCUCUGUGGUGGGCGUCGCCCCUGCACAUUAAGACCGAAACCCCGUGGGCCCUAAUUUGCCUUCCGAUGCACCUGCCUGUUGGUGCACUCCCUGAGCUGUGCGGUUUUCUGAGUCCCUUUCACCUGUGUCCUCAGGUCUGCUGAGUUAAACCCACAGUGUGUGUUUGGGCUACAAAUUCUGCAGAGGAAAGCGGAAAUCGAUGUUGGAGGCUGUUUCCUAGCAAGGCACAGUUGGCCUCAGUGUAGGGAAGAGGUAAGAUGCUGAAAAGUUUUCCUCAGGCCUUAAUGACAGGUCCCCCACUGUCAAGCUGGGUGGGAACCUUUAUGCUUCUGCCUUUAAGCUGCUACACGACAAUUCAGAAAAUGAUUUGCAGUGGGUAGGGCGUGGCCCCACAAUCCCCACCUGUGGAAACAGGAUCUUAAUGGCUGUCAGUGUUCAAAGAACGGGCUCCGGGUUUCCUUCCAGCGUCCUGUGCGGCUGUUAGUGCUGUUCUCCAGGCUGCCCUUGACUCCCGAUCAGCCCCUCAGCCUUCGGCCAGCAGGCUGCUCCCAGCUGCUCUCCUGGAAGCACUUCCUCACCAGCCAGGUGGCCUCUCAUCUCCCUGCAGCCCCAUCCUGUCUGCCCCAGAGCCCGGGUGGCUUCAGCACUUCCCUAACGCCACUCAUCUCUGCUCCUCCCUCCUGGUUAUCUUCCUGCCAGUUUUGGAAGUGGGCCUUUCCUAUUGCAGAGACGGCCCAGUGGAAUGCUUUGGGACACAACAAGGGUUGCAGGGUGGGAGAGAUCACUGCAGGGUCUCAUGGCCUGUGAUUCUGUUCAGUGCCAACACGGGAGACUGAAUGAAGCAAGAGCAAGCGCUGAUAGAUGCUGCCGCUCCGGAGUGGAGACCACAUCUGGUUCAUCUCUUGAGUCCUCAGUGCCCAGCCAGAGCUUGGCACAUAGCCGGUGCUCAAUAAGAUGAUCUGUUGAAUGAAUGCUCUUAGUGUCCUUUCUUCUUCGGAAAGGUGUCCGACGUGUGUUAAGUCCGAGAAUCACAACCUCAACAGGGAGGCAAAAGCAGAGAUGCCUCUGCUUUGCAGUAGCUCUCAUGAGUCACGUCAGAGGUGCAGGUCUGGCUCAGCCGUUGUCCAAGAAACUCCAGGAGCUCCACCUCCCUGUGCCUCAGUGUCCUCCACUGCGAUGCGGAGGCCACAGUGUCUGCUCUGCCUGCCUCCCUGGAGGUCAUGAGGACACGACAGGAGAACAGACAUGAGACUUCUCUGAGAAUUUCAAAGCCGUGCUUAAGUCUCUUUUCUUCUACACGCUCAUGCUCAAGGACCACAGCCAGGUUCACCUCCUACGCCAGCUGAGGAAACCCCCAUCCUGGUAGGCCAGGUGCUGCCAAGUGCCAGCCUCCAUGGAGCUCGAUUGUCUGCUUGGUCAGACAUUUCUGCACCCCAGGUGGCGAGUGACAAGUUAAGUCACAGAAGACUGGCUGGCAUAUACUUGCUCCCUGGCACAGUUCUCGCUCCCGGAGCCACCGAGAACAGAAACAGGAGGAUCUUCUCCCCAGAGGACUAUGCUCCUGGACAGCAUCCUUGACCCAUCCAGAGAGCACUCGGCCCCUAUUCUGUCCAGAACAGGCCCAGGGAGGAGGCACUUACAGGGAGCAGCCAGCCAGAGAGCAGCAGCACCCAGGCAGGGACACGGCCUCCUGCCCUCUAGGCCAGCGCUCCCACUGUUCUUCCCGCCUCUCCAGGGAUGGAUGGAGGCCACGGUGCCCACUUCACUCUCUCAUGGCGGACUGGUUUCCUCCACCCUGCAGGAAAUGCAGCAGCCAAAUCCCUCCCUGCAUCCACCACACGUGCAGCUCCUGAAUUUCACAUCUUUGUUAACAACUUGCACCAAAGAUACUGCAGGCUUUCAGCCAGGAAGUCCCAGGCUCUUCAAAAGCCACGUCGGAAUCUCACCUCCUCUCUGUGUACCCCCACUGCCACCACAACGCUUCCGUUUCAACAGGGACCCGUUCCUGUGAUUUAAAUAAGUGGGUGAAUAAACAAGGGAAUAAGCAAGGGAAUGAGUGGACAGAAAGAAGAUGGGAAAAAAAUUCUCUUGCCCAAAAGUUGCCCCAAUGGAGGAACCAAGAAGAGAAGAGGAAGCGUCAGCCCUGAGAGGGCAUAUGCCGCCCUCCUCCCCUCCCCUCCACAGCCCUCUGCCCCCGUCCAAGCAGAUCACUGCCUGGAGGUGAGCGGUGCCCAGAAAAUGGGCAGGACCUGGAUAACGAUCAUAGUGGGCAGACAGAGACUGAAGCCCAGUCCCUGCUGUGCGACUUGGAAAUGUCAGUCAUGGCUUAAGGGGAGAGCCGAUUCAAGGAAACAGCCAAGUCAAGGUCGCCACAUGUGUGCGGCAUUUUAGGUUCAGCAAGCGAUCUGCAAAUUCAAAGCCUCGUAAAUGGGUUCCAAGAAAUCUGAUUUUAACAGCACCACUGACACAGGAGUGUGUCCCGGGACUCGCCCCUCACUGGGAUGAAGAUUGUCAUUGAUUUAUCAGGAGCAGAAACAGCAGGAUUCCACAUCACGUCCUGGAAGGCAGCCCAGGCAAAGGUGGAGAAUUAGCAGAUCGUUACUAUUAAUUCCAAUAUUACAACUCCCCAGGAGUCCUGCAGCAAAUCACAGGCUCUCUCACAGGAGUUUCUCCGUAUUUAAGUGGAGUUAAUGUUUUUUGUUUUUGUUUCUGUUUUUAAUGGAGCAUCAUUCCUAAUUAUGAAGACACUCUCAAAAUUACAAAUAUUCAUUAAUCACGCGCAAGUCCGGAACAUGCUAGGUCCUAUACGAGAUGCACAGUAAGUAGAACCACCGCUAUAUUUCAUUCACUUGAGCGGUCAACAUUUACUGAAGCCCUUGAUGUGCCCAACACUGUGCCGGGCACUGGCUUUAUACCACAUUACAGUUAUUAGCCAUUUUAAAAGUGAAGAGAUCAACCUCAGAGAGGUUAUAAAACUUACCCAACUGCCCUCGGCCACACAGUUUGUAAGAGACUUGGGAUUAGAAUAAAGGGAGAGAUCGGAC
This 4218-nucleotide long non-coding RNA is filed under the name Equus caballus (horse). RNAcentral describes it as "lncRNA (ENSECAG00000046094.1)". Lineage: Eukaryota; Metazoa; Chordata; Mammalia; Perissodactyla; Equidae. The record is from RNAcentral.